CCGCACGCAGGAACACCAUCCGAUCCUGCUAUCUCGUCCGCACGCAACACCGAUCUGUCUGAUCCCGCUCGCUCCGCCGCUCCACAUCGCUCUUGAUUCCGCCUCCACCCAUGCGCCACCUCUCGACCUCCUAACCCUAAUCCUCUCCCUCACUCUCAUUUCCUGCCGCCCCCGACCUCCACCUCCACCCAUGCGCCGCCUCCCUACUGCCUCCUACCGCGGCUUCCGACCGUGGCCUCCGACGAGCUCCUCUGCCGCUUGUCCUCUCUCCACCUCCCCUCUCCGUCCGUCGCGCUUCUUCUUCGUUGUCGCUGGCCACAGAUCCGCGCUCCCCCGCCUCCACCGCCACCCCACCCAGCUCCGAGACACCACUGGAGCCGUCUCCCUUGCGAAUCGCUCCCUCGCUAACCGCUAUGAAUCUCGACGCCCCCGCCCGCCUGCCCUGCCCAACCGUCUAUCCACCGCCACCACCGCCGGGCCGGCAGCCUCCCCGAGCCUCCCUCUAAGCCAAUGCGCCGUCACCAACCCGAGCGGCCUCCGCCACCGCCACCGCCUCCGUCCUUCGGCGCCACGGCUCAGCCGACCUCCCCUUUCUCCUCCACCACCACCACCAGCUCCGUUGCCAUGGUCGCCGCCAACUUGGACGAGCUGCUCCUCAUGGCCCUGCCGCCAUUGGCGUCGGAGCCACGGAGCUUCCCAUAUGUGGUGAAGCAGCAGUGUUGGGAGAAGGCGGAGCGAGUGCCCGGGCGCGACCCAGAGAGGUGGCGCCGUGACGCGCUCGACAAAGUCGUCUUCCGCAAGCUCGUCGGAUGCCCAUGCAGCCUUUGCCACGACUACGACCACAUCAUCCCCUACUCCAAGGAAGCAUUUUGAGUGGAUGGAGCUAGAGCUGGAGCUGCGAGAUAGUAUUGCUAGCAGGAAUAAUUCGAAGGCAAAUUUCCAAUGGUAAUCCAUGGUUGCAGGUUUAACAUGCAGCUUCGUGCCUAUUUUCAAAUUUUCAUCUGUUGAUACAGACUCCCAUAGAGUUUUCUAAUAAAGGUAGGAUUUGUUAAAUUCACAUAGCAUACCCAAUUUGUAAGUCUUCUUCUUUCUUCUUUUUCUUAACAGAGAUAACACCAUUUUUGGUGCCAGGCAAUUAAUGCAAGUUCUUAACAGAUAUGUGUGUAUUAGCAUCCAGGGUGUAUAAAUGAGCUGCUUUUUAUAUGCGCAGCAAACAACAGUGGUAGUCAUAUAUUUGUGUGUGAAUACUAAAAGAUUUUUCUCUCCUUUUUAUUUUAUUUGGCAAAGAAAUAUUAUUUUCUCAUUGGCGCUGUUGACAAGGGUGUUAUUCAUGUGUCUAGAAGUAGCCUUUGAGGGAUGGUGUAAAAGAGGCAUUUCUGUAUAUUUCAUAGUUUCGUCUUUCCUUUUGUGUGAAUAUCAAACACAUGUCUCAGAUUAAUUGGGUCUACAAUUUUGCAUAGAUGAGUGCGAUGUCUGCUGUCCACAAGUCUCAGGUUUGUCGCACGAAAAAGGGCUGGAAUCACUAUAGGAUGCAGUUGUGUACAAAUAUUUAACCAUUCUCCAUAGACAGCUCUUUUUAUGUUUCGAUCCAAAUACAAGUGUCUUUGUCCUGAAAUUUUCAGGGGCUCACAGCUGUCUGUUCCGGUUGCUGGGACUUUCUCAUCUGUCCAGCCAGUGCAACAUUGGUAUGCUAUCAUCGCCGCCAUGCGAGCUCCCAGUAUGUACAUGAAUUGCUGACUCUCUCAUCUUUCUCUGAAGAACUUGCCCGUAAUCGGUAUCUGAAUGUUGAGAUCCAUCUGUGCACAAUUUGCAUUAGUAAGGUCUAUUUCAUUCUUUCUGUUCUCUUUACUGUAACAAGAAGUUGCAUUUACUGCAUUGAUAAAUUUGCAUCUUGCAAACUUUACAGACACAGGAGUUCUGAGUUUUUUUGGUCCAGUACAGAGAUCUAAUUGGCCCUUAAGCAAAUGUAUGAAGCUAUGCAUUUUCUGAAAAUUUGCGUUUGCUCUAACACCUGAAAUGAACAUUUCCGAGACAAAUUUGCCAUCUGCAUUUUGUGCAGGAACUGAGGUGGCGCAUUUAGUUUGUGGAUGAUGCCACACUAUCCUGGUGUAUAAUGGCACGAAAAGUGUACAUCCUUUCUUGAUGCCAUACUUAUAAGUUAUAACAAGCUACAAACAAACAAGCUAUUACUCCUCAUCCUGAGUUGCAAUAAUUAUAUUGUGUGGCUUUGAUUCCUGUAUGCGAAAUCUUCCGUCUGAACAUAAUAUGUUACAUGAUUGUGAGCUCGAGAAAUCUGCCAGUAACAUUUUUCCAGUUCAUAUAUUAUUUCAUGUGGCGAUCUGAGUGGAACAUUUAUUUGCAUGAUCCACAAUUUAUUUCAUUUGGGAGAAAGGAACUGGACCACUCACUGGUGCAGACCAGAAUUGUAUAUACAGGGGCAUUUCAUAAUAUAUGUUGUCAUUUUGAAGACAUGUGGUUUCUUGUUAAUUUAAAAUUGCAGGGAGCUUUUACUCCCACUCCUAGAUUUAUUCCCAUGACUUCCAAUGGUUCAGGAAGUCAGAACAGCUCCUUACUUUGCUAGGUGGUUAUAGUUAUAUUAGAAUCCAUUCCUGCAUUUGCUAGGAAUUACUCUGAUAAUGAAAGUUCUCUUUUCUGUAUCAAAACAGACUAGAAGGGACUGCAAGCGAAGGAGACCCUUCUGCUAACAGAAAGGCAACAAAGUGAAGCAGCUAGCACUGCACAAUCUCAAGCGAGAAAUGAAGCAUUAGCAAGCAAGCUUGAAGACGCUGUGAAACAAAAUGAUCUCCUCUGUGAAACUGUUAAAAGGUUUGUUGUUCCAGAAACUACUGUAAGCAGCACUCCGAUGUGCUGUUUUGGGGACCCAAAUGACUUUAUUUAGUGGUAACAUUUUGUGAGAUAGCAUGAUUCGAUUAUCAUCAAAAUAGAAUUGCCCCCCUGAGGAUCUCUGCAAUUUGGCUGUUUUAAGGGGCCGGGACCAAUCACACUGUCUUUCAUUGCUUAUAGCAUUUUUUCGCUCCAUAUUAUAAGAUUUACAG
This is an RNA transcript of Phragmites australis (common reed), 3056 nucleotides long. RefSeq lists it as uncharacterized. The transcript is spliced from 3 exons. NCBI's taxonomy places the organism in Eukaryota, Viridiplantae, Streptophyta, Magnoliopsida, Poales, Poaceae. The record is from RefSeq and is a predicted model, not a curated record.